Molecule: small RNA, 1751 nt
Filed under: Pongo abelii (Sumatran orangutan)
Lineage: Eukaryota; Metazoa; Chordata; Mammalia; Primates; Hominidae
Description: retained intron
Source: RNAcentral
AAGAAACGGGGCCACCGUGCUUGGGGCUUCUCCUCUGGCAGAAGGGAACUCAAACCCUGUCUCUUUCCCCAGGUCUCGGAGGAGGCUUCGGAUACGUGGUUGGCGGAAUCCACUGGGAUAAAACGGGCUUCGGGAGGGCCCUGGGGGGGCAGCUCCGUGUCAUUUACCUCUUCACCGCGGUCACCCUGAGCGUCACCACCGUCCUGACCCUGGUCAGCAUCCCUGAGAGGCCGCUGCGGCCGCCGGGUGAGAAGCGGGCAGCCAUGAAGAGCCCCAGCCUCCCGCUGCCCCCGUCCCCGCCCGUCCUGCCAGAGGAAGGCCCCGGCGACACCCUCCCGUCGCACACGGCCACCAACUUCUCCAGCCCCAUCUCCCCGCCCAGCCCCCUCACGCCCAAGUACGGCAGCUUCAUCAGCAGGGACAGCUCCCUGACGGGCAUCAGCGAGUUCGCGUCAUCCUUCGGCACGGCCAACAUAGACAGCGUCCUCAUCGACUGCUUCACGGGUGGCCACGACAGCUACCUGGCCAUCCCCGGCAGCGUCCCCCGGCCGCCCAUCAGCGUCAGCUUCCCCCGUGCCCCCGACGGCUUCUACCGCCAGGACCGUGGACUUCUGGAGGGCAGAGAGGGUGCCCUGACCUCCGGCUGUGACGGGGACAUUCUGAGGGUGGGCUCCUUGGACACCUCUAAGCCAAGGUCAUCAGGGAUUCUGAAGAGACCCCAGACCUUGGCCAUCCCGGACAUGGCCGGAGGAGGGGGUCCCGAAACCAGCAGGAGAAGGAAUGUGACCUUCAGUCAGCAGGUCGCCAACAUCCUGCUCAACGGCGUGAAGUACGAGAGCGAGCUGACGGGCUCCAGCGAGCGCGCGGAGCAGCCUCUGUCCGUGGGGCGCCUGUGCUCCACCAUCUGCAACAUGCCCAAGGCGCUACGCACCCUCUGCGUCAACCACUUCCUGGGGUGGCUGUCGUUCGAGGGGAUGCUGCUCUUCUACACAGACUUCAUGGGUGAGGUGGUGUUUCAGGGGGACCCCAAGGCCCCGCACACGUCAGAGGCGUAUCAGAAGUACAACAGCGGCGUGACCAUGGGCUGCUGGGGCAUGUGUAUCUACGCCUUCAGUGCCGCCUUCUACUCAGCUAUCCUGGAGAAGCUGGAGGAGUUCCUCAGCGUCCGCACCCUCUACUUCAUCGCCUAUCUCGCCUUCGGCCUGGGGACUGGGCUCGCCACCCUCUCCAGGAACCUCUACGUGGUCCUGUCGCUCUGCAUAACCUACGGGAUUUUAUUUUCCACCCUGUGCACCUUGCCCUACUCGCUGCUCUGCGAUUACUACCAGAGUAAGAAGUUUGCAGGGUCCAGUGCGGACGGCACCCGGCGGGGCAUGGGCGUGGACAUCUCUCUGCUGAGCUGCCAGUACUUCCUGGCUCAGAUUCUGGUCUCCCUUGUCCUGGGGCCCCUGACCUCGGCUGUGGGCAGCGCCAAUGGGGUGAUGUACUUCUCCAGCCUCGUGUCCUUCCUGGGCUGCCUGUACUCCUCCCUGUUUGUCAUUUAUGAAAUUCCUCCCAGCGACGCUGCAGACGAGGAGCACCGGCCCCUCCUGCUUAACGUCUGACAUCGCGGAGCCUCAACUCUGGACACGCGCCUUCACCUGGGGGUCUGGAGCAGGCCGACCAGUGAGGACCAAAGGGCCUUGUUGGACAGGGGGACAGGCUGCCUACUGGAAUGUAAAUAUGUGAUAAAAAAAUAAUAAAUGACAGCG